AGAAUUUGAUCCUGGUUCAGGAUGAAUGCUGGCAGUGUACCUUAAGCAUGCAAGUCGAACGGAUGAGGCCGCAAGGCCAAAUCAGUGGCAGACGGGUGAGGAUUGACAGGAACCUACCUUUUGUUGGGGAAUAGCUCGCCGAAAGGCGAGAUAAUACCGCAUAAGAUCGCAAGAUGAAAGGCCUUAACCGGCCGACGAUAGAUGGGCCUGUUUGCUAUCAGCUAGUUGGUGAGGUAAUGGCUCACCAAGGCUAUGACGGCUAGGGGACGUGAGAGCGUGGUCCCCCACAAUGUUACUUAGACACGGAACAUACACCUACGGGUGGCAGCAACUGGGAAUUUUGCACAAUGGACGAAAGUCUGAUGCAGUGACACUGCGUGUAGGAUGAAGGCCCUCGGGUCGUAAACUACUGUGAUAGGGGAAAAAAUUUUGAUGGUACCCUAUUAGAAAGUACUUGCUAACUACGUGCCAGAAGCCUCGGUAAUACGUAGAGUACAAGCAUUAUCCGGAUUUAUUGGGCGUAAAGAGUAUCGUAGGCGGUCUAUUAAGUAACGGGUUAAAGCCCGGGGCUCAACCCCAGUGAAAUCUGUUGAUAUCAAGAAGAAUACCAAAAGCGAAGGCAGGUAACUAGGACAUUCCAGACGCUGAUGAACGAAAGCUAGGGGAGCGAAAGGGAUUUUGACUAGUCCCAUCACGCAGUAAUGCGUGAUUAAAGAAUCGGCUAUAUCGGUGAAAGUCCUUGCGGUUUCGGUUUACUUUCGGGUAUACUGAAUAAGUGAGGAAAACACCGAGGGAAGUUUUUAACUAUAAGAAGAAUGAAUUUUGUUUAACUAAAACUCAAAGGAGCGUUUUAAUUGGAACAAUGUUAGGUGAUAGUGGGUUGAGAUUUCGGGGAAUAAAUUGUCGUUUGCAUAUCAAGCAUAGUCUUAAACAGCUAAGUUUGGUGAAUUACAAAUGGCGUAUUUUUGAACCUAUUAUUUCAAUGAAAGUAAGAUGUUUCAGUCAGAAAGUCGGCAUGAAAGACUACAACUUUGCCGAGUUUGUGACUUUAACUCAUCCUAUUUUUACCUAUUAUUACCAGUUGUUUUAUAAAAACCACAAGAAAGUUGUUGUCGAUGAGAUGGCAACUGCAAUUGAUCCUUUGGUACUGGCUGUUUGGAUUAUGGAUGAUGGAUCUGCAGAAUAUGCUGGUUUAUCAAUCCAA
Molecule: ribosomal RNA, 1204 nt
Filed under: Candidatus Collierbacteria bacterium GW2011_GWE2_42_48
Lineage: Bacteria; Candidatus Collieribacteriota
Description: bacterial SSU rRNA
Rfam family: Bacterial small subunit ribosomal RNA (bases 2-789)
Source: RNAcentral